Molecule: ribosomal RNA, 253 nt
Filed under: uncultured bacterium
Lineage: Bacteria
Description: partial 16S ribosomal RNA
Rfam family: Bacterial small subunit ribosomal RNA
Source: RNAcentral
UACGUAGGGCGCAAGCGUUGUCCGGAAUUAUUGGGCGUAAAGAGCUCGUAGGCGGUCUGUCGCGUCUGCCGUGAAAACCCGAGGCUUAACCUCGGGCUGGCGGUGGAUACGGGCAGACUAGAGGUAGGUAGGGGAGAAUGGAAUUCCCGGUGUAACGGUGAAAUGCGCAGAUAUCGGGAGGAACACCGGUGGCGAAGGCGGUUCUCUGGGCCUUACCUGACGCUGAGGAGCGAAAGCGUGGGGAGCGAACAGG